This 468-nucleotide ribosomal RNA is filed under the name uncultured bacterium. RNAcentral's name for it is "partial 16S ribosomal RNA". It matches the Rfam family "Bacterial small subunit ribosomal RNA", at positions 28 to 507 of the family's 1533-position model. The record is from RNAcentral.
GACGAACGCUGGCGGCGUGCUUAACACAUGCAAGUCGAACGGAAAGGCCCUGCUUUUGUGGGGUGCUCGAGUGGCGAACGGGUGAGUAACACGUGAGUAACCUGCCCUUGACUUUGGGAUAACUUCAGGAAACUGGGGCUAAUACCGGAUAGGAGCUCCUGCUGCAUGGGGGGGGUUGGAGAGUUUCGGCGGUUGGGGAUGGACUCGCGGCUUAUCAGCUUGAUGGUGGGGUAGUGGCUUACCAAGGCUUUGACGGGUAGCCGGCCUGAGAGGGUGAACGGCCACAUUGGGACUGCGGUACGGCCCAGACUCCUACGGGACGCAGCAGUCGGGAAUAUUGCACAAUGGGCGGAAGCCUGAUGCAGCAACGCCGCGUGCGGGAUGACGGCCUUCGGGUUGUAAACCGCUUUCGCCUGUGACGAAGCGUGAGUGACGGUAAUUGGUAAAGAAGCACCGGCUAACUACGUG